This is a long non-coding RNA of Exaiptasia diaphana, 2490 nucleotides long. RefSeq lists it as uncharacterized. The transcript has 3 exons. Lineage: Eukaryota; Metazoa; Cnidaria; Anthozoa; Actiniaria; Aiptasiidae. The record is from RefSeq and is a predicted model, not a curated record.
AUGCAUACCUCGUGACCAUCUUCGUGUAUCGCGGGUGUUUUAUUCCCACUCCCCUAAACAAUUAAGCUGAGAAAUUAUUUGUAACUAAGCAGCCGGUUUGUUUUAUCUCAAGUCAUUGCAGUUGCAUGAGUUAUAGUUUUCAUAACUGAAUACUUGGAGUGCUGGAUGUCGACAUGCUUCUUAUCCUAGUACUAUGUACUCUGGCCGCUGCUAAGUCCGUGGAAAACACGUUCGACGAUAUUACAAGACAAUGGGAGCUCAGAGAAGACGCUGGCAACGCACAACCGGCAGCCAAGGCAACCAGGGUAGACAGGCCGGUAUCUAUGGCUACCAACAAAGCAGCCAAUGACAAUAGAAUGCCUUACAAGAAACACCAAUUUAAACGAAAAUACGACAUACUUCAAACAUGCUACAGUGGGGACCUCUACGAGACCGUAAAAGCACUGGGCGUAUUCAAAAUCCCAGGCAUCAAGAUGGUUAAAGUGUCUGGUGAACUUUAUCAGCUGUUGCUAAAGAACCAUACCGUCAAACUGACACUAGAGCAAAGCAAGAUGUACGAAGUCGACAUGACUAGCUUAAGCGAAAGCUACGACAUUCCCAGAGCUGUGAAUUCAGAUUCUAGCAUAACAAAGCGUGCAACUGACAUAUGCGAGGAAGACGCCGGCGUUUUGAUUAUUCUGGCUCAUGCUAGCGGACAAUUUGCUUACGUGGCUACCGACUAUGGUUGUGCAAGCUCGGUUUGUUCCUAUCAAAAUGUUGCAAUCGGUUCUUGUCAGAAAAAAAUUCAGACGUUUUUGAUUUGGCUUGUGAAUGUAAAUGGGGACUUUAUAUCUAAUACAGUUGAAAUAGGUUGUGCAUGCGAAUGUAUUGUAUAAAGAUUGGACUACGACUGGGAAUCGGGGGGGGGGGGGGGGUGGUAACUCCCUUGUAUUUAGGAUGGAUACGACGAUCAUCCCUGCCCAACGAUAUAAGGGAGACCUCCCCCAACCCCCCCGGGAUUGAUGCUGUAUUGUAGAUUGUUACUAAAAAAGUCAUUCAUUUUAUAAUUUCACGAGUUGUUGAAUAUUGUGGGAAAAACUAUUGUAAAAACUAACGAAAGCGAAUGUUCGGGUUAAUAAAGUCAAAAUAGUCUAGGUUGAUGUAUCUGAGUCUGCAAAUGUAAAUCUAACGUGUUGAUAAGAGACCGGUGAAGAAAGAAGUUCAGUUCAACUUCCUAAAUGUUGUAAAUCUCACUGAAAGCUAGAUGGAGAGUAAAACAAUGAAUGAGUGAAAAAACAAAUAAAAAUAAAUAAAACGAAAAAAAGGAAGAGCGAAAAAGCGCAAAAAAUAAAUACACAAAGAAAGAAUGAAGGAGCUUUCCUGAGGAAGAUAAGAAUGUAAAACAGUCAAUUUCCGUAUCUAAUUCUUGAAGAUUGUAAAUGAAAUGAAAGACAGUAAAACGUGAGGGAAUGGAGGCCACAAAAAAGGAUGUUACUGUUCAAAGACAAAGGAAAACAUUUCGCGAUAGACAAACAAUGCUCAAGCAACUUAGAUAUGUCAUGUGACAGGAAGUCACUGUAUCUAGAGUGAAAGCCGCCUUACAACGUCCGACGUCUAGUUUGUAGAGUGACACGAUGUCACUAGUAAAAUAACUCAAGCUCUUUAGGCAGCUUUGCUGAUCGGUAGUAGUAGAGCUCAUGAGAACAGGGAACGGACUGAGACACCACAAAGCAAUUUGUUCAACGAUGGCAGUUAAGACAUUGUUAGCUACAGUCUUAAUAAUAGCCAGCACAUGUCCUUUAACCUCAGCUGAAGACGAAACUAUCUCGAAGAGGCUACUAUCAAACAUCUUCAAAUAUGAUUCUUCCACUAGCAAUAGUUCUACAGUUAACGCGAAGAUUCUUGGGAUGGAUGUUGCACCUCCUGAUACCUGGAGCCCAGACGCAAAACUMUUCUUUUUCACUGUCAAAAAAUUUGGGUUAUUUAAACUUAAAAAUCUGCAUCUUAUCAAAAUUAACAAUUCGAUGGUUAAAACCCUGGAGUUGAAUAACAGAAGUAUCACUAUGAGAAACGGCCAGACGACRAAAAAGAAAAGACAAUUUCAUGAAUUUUGUUUGGAACGAGUAGUUAAGACAAUUGUUUUAGCCCAUGCUAGCGAGCAGCUAGCUUAUUCUAUUGAUGAAAUCGAAUGCCACGGGAAGUGCCACUCAAAUUUUCUUAAGGUAUCUUUAGGAGAGUGUAUCCUAAGAAAAAAGACAAUGAUUGUCUACAUACAGAAUAGUAAGGGUGCAUUUAAAGCUCAAACAGUCCAGACAGGAUGUGCAUGCGAAUGCUUGCACUUUGCACGAUUUCAAUAGUGUAACAUCUAAAAAUAAAGAAAAAAUAUUUCUUUACUUAAAGCAUUCUUUUGUAGCUGAAAAAUAUACUUAUCUAAACCGAGUUACUGCAAGAUGAAGGAAGAAGGUAUUUUAAAUUUUAAGUAAAAAUAAAACGAAUUACAUAAUAUAUCUU